Molecule: long non-coding RNA, 10074 nt
Filed under: Equus caballus (horse)
Lineage: Eukaryota; Metazoa; Chordata; Mammalia; Perissodactyla; Equidae
Description: lncRNA (ENSECAG00000049710.1)
Source: RNAcentral
AAGCUCUGACCCUCAAUGUGACUGUAUUUGGAGAUGGGGCCUUUAAGGAGGUAAUUAAGAUUAAUGAGGUCAUAGAGGUAUGUCCCUAAUCCCAUAGGACUGGUAUCCUCAUAAGAUGAAGACAUCCCAGAUGUCUCUCUCUCUCUCUCUCUCUGUGCACACGCAGAGGAAACGCCACAUGAGCACUCGGUGAGAAGGCGGCCCUCUGCAAACCAAGGAGGGAGGCCUCACCACAAACCAAGCCUGCUGCCAUCUUGCUCUUACACUUCCAGCCUUGAACUUCCACAACUGUGAACGGGUGAAGGCACUGAGAAGCGAGGCCAUCUGAAGGCAGUGCCGUGGAUGUCGCUGAGUGGACUGUCUGACGUGUCUGUCCCCAUCCCGGGGAGGAGAGCUACGUAUGGCCGUUGAGCAGUUCCCAGACCCGGGCUGAAUCACUUCUGCUUUUGGGAGGGGACUCAGUUGCCACCACUGUCCAGAAAAGAGCAGUGAUCGCUGUUGGCGGGGCUCUUGAGAGGAUGGAAGGAGCUGAACUGAAGGUCCAUACCCGGCCCGUGAGCCUCGGUCUCGGAAGCUCUGCUCGUGUUUGCCUGUCACCGAAAGCUCAGGAGAAGAAAGUGCCCCAGGGCUGGAGAUGGGAAGGGAGGAAGUGAAAGUCAAAUCACGCCGUGCGUUUCGGUUUAAAAGCCACCGUAGGAACAAGCCUUGCCAGGGGAAAAAGUUGAAACUAAAUGAGGCUUUCAGUUUUCUGCGGGUUUCAGUGAUUCAAAUGAGCCCCAGGGCUCCCUUUUGUCUCCCGGGUGUUGCAGAGGUCACACCCCGGGUUGGCAUGAGAUAAAACGCUGCUGUGCACACAGAAACCGCUUGUGCACUAGCCAGGCUCUCUCCGAAGGCCAAGUGCCCGAGCCACUGCUGUUGUUUCUGUUUUAAUAUUCCCGGAGUGUUGAAAAGUGAGAUGCCGAAACAGAACUACAUUGUAGUGCAGUUUUUAACAUUUAUGUUGAAAAAAUUAGUAAUUUUAACACGCAUUUAAAUAACUGCGAUAUAAUUAUCUUGCUUUUCAAAAGACGACCACGUUUAUAAGCAACGUUCAUGUAGGAUGCGCUCUAAAGAGUGGGACCCAAAUUUAAGGCUGUGUGAUGAGUGACUCCUUCCAGUCCUUAGAGUGGAUGUCACCGCACGGACAGGCUCAUCUGGAAAUGGUGUCAGAAGCCUUUAUUCGAGGGAGCCUUUCAAAACUGCACGGCUGAGCUCAAAUGCUCUCCUGCCCCAGCCGCCCAGCAACUUGGCCUCCAGCCCCACCACAGAUACCCCGCUAUCGAGUGUGUCCUUAUGACUGUGAAGCAAGAAGGAGAAAAAUAAGGAGGAUGGAGAGGUCCAGUAUGGAGUGCUCCUUUCACAAAGAUUUUCCAGUACCUACUGUGUUCGGAGGCAAUGACCCGGUGCUGUGCUUGAGCUCAUAGUCAGGGUUCGCAUCUGAGAGUUUCAUUCUCUCCUCACGUGUGGAAUCUCUGCAACGCUCAGCUGUCUCCUUGGGUACCUCAUUUGUGAGGCUCCUUGUUGGCUGUCGUGAGCAUGCAAUGGCUUAUACACAUCCAGUUACCGGAGUGGUGCCGGCACAGGGAAGGACCAGCACACACGUGCCGCCUGCAGAGGCUUAACUCCCGCUCCUCCGUGCAUUCUGCAUUCCACCCACUCUGCAAGCUGCUUCACCUGAAACCACUGCCUGGCAGUACGGGAAGGUUUUGGUAAAGCACGAGGAAAUGCUACUCCAUGGAUGAGGGGAACAAAGGCAUCAGUUUUAUUAAGGAAACUCUUACAAAUCCAUCCAUCAACCAUUCGACAAGCUGCACUGUGCUUGGUGCUAGCUAGGGGCUGCAGACACCGUAGUGGAUGAAAAGUGCAUAAGUAAUCAGUGUACAGCUCAAUUAAUUUUCACAGCAUGAACACACGUGUCAUUCAUACCCAGGUCAAGAAUCAGAAUCAGCAGCGCCCAGAUGCCUGCCUGUACCCACUUCUAUGCACAACCGCCUCCCCGGGGGAAAUAGUACUCUAACUUCUAAAACCACAGAUUAAUUUUGCCUGUUUUUAACCUUUAUAAAAAAGGAAUCACAACAGGUUGUCUUUUGAGACUGGCAUUUUGUUUUUACUCGUUAUUAUGUUUGUGAGAGUCGCCCUUUCUUGUGUAUAAGUUGUAGCUUAUUUAUUCUCACUCCUACAUGUUAUCCCAUUGUGUGAAUGAAUACACCAUGGUCUUGUAUCCAAUCUACUGCUGAUGGACAUUUGAGUUGUUUGCAGUUUGGGAAUAUUACAAAUUACACUGCAGCUGACAUUCUUGUAUGUGCCAUCUGUUGUGUAUAUGCCUGCAUUUCUGUUGGGUGUUUACUUAGGAGUGGAAUUGCUGAGUAUAAGGGAUGGGUAUAUUCAGUUUGAACAGAUACUAUCAAGCAGCUUUCCAAAGUAAUUGUAACAAUUUAUACUCUGCUCAGCAGAGUAUGAGAGUUCUGGUUGCUCUAAAUUGUCUGUCUUUUCCACUUUAGCCAUUUUGGAGAGUGUCUUGUGGUAUCUGUAUUAUGACGUUAAUCUGCAUUUCCCAAUGACUAAUGAAGUCAAAUGCCUUUUCACAUGUUUAUUUUCUGUUUGGAUAUCUUCUCUUGUGAAGUAUCUAUUCUGACAUUUGCCCAUUUUCCUGCUGAGUUCUCUUCCUUUUUCUUAUUGAUUUGAAGGAGCACUUUGUAUGUUCCAGGUAAGAGUCCUUUGUCAGUUAUAAGUAUUGAAACUGUCUUCUCCCAGUCUGUGGCUUAUCUUUUUACUCUUCUAAUGGUUUUAAAGAACUGAAGUUCUUAAUUUUAAUGUAGUCCAAUUGAUCGAUAUUUUUCCUUUUACAGUUACUGCUUUCUGUGUCUUAAGAUAUCUUUGCCUGAGAUGGUUCUUGUGGACGCAGCUAGAGCGAGGCAGGGAAAUUGUUAUGCACCGUGUUGCCUGUACAAGCAAAAAUACAGUCAGGAUAGCUACACGUGACCUCAAGAAAGCAAAGCACGAGCUGUCUGUUCAUGCCUUCUUUGGGAAGACCUGCUGGGAGGGACACAUGAGGAAAAACCCAGAGACCCCUGUGAACUGUGUGUUUUCCAAGUGCUCUGAGAGGGGCAAUACAGGGUGUGGGAAAGAGAAGUACAAAUUGAUGAAAUGGCAAAGUGCACCAGAUCAGGAAAUGAAGGAUUGGAGACCAGCUAAGGGAGGCAACAAGAAAGAUCGUACUAUCCCAAAUACCCUCAUACUCCACUUGGCUUCUUCCUCUUCUGCUUAGACCUCUGCCUAAGGUCAAAUCCAUAAACCUAGGCAUUUCCAUUGGAGACCUGGCCAAAUGGCUGGUGACAUGUUGUGGUAUGCAGAAUUCCUAUCACUCACAUGAUCGUGUGAAGUUCUAUGGCAGAGUUGACCUUAAUAUAGGAGAUUAUCCUGGUGGGUGUGAUUAAAUCAAUGGAAUUUUGCUAAGCAGAGAGCUUCCUCCAGCUAAUGGCAGAAGAGGAAGCCAGAGAGAUUUGAAGAAUGAAGGGGAUUUGGCUUGUAGAUGCAGGACACCACGUGAGAAGAAAGUCAGGCAACCUUAAAGAGCUGAGAGAGGGCCCUGGCCAGCAACCAUCAAGGAAAAAAGGUCCUCAGUCCUACAACCACAGGAACUGAAUUCUGCCCACAAUGUGAACGAGCCUGGAAGUGAUGUCUACUCAGAGCUGGCCGAGGACUCAGCUUGGCUGAUAACUUGAUUUCUGCCUUGUGAUUCCCUGAGCAGAGAAGGCAGCUACACCGUGCUGGACUUCUGACCUACAGGACUGUGAGCUAAAAAUGGGUGCUAGUUACUCUGCAAAGUUUGUAGUAAUUUGUUACACAGUGACAGAAAAAUAAAACACGUGGACUAGUUUGAGUCCUAGUGAAAACUUACCUUAUAAUAAGGCAACAAAGUUGAAGAUGAAUAAGAAGGACGUUGCCCACUGUAACCUAAAAGAAAGUGGUCGGUUAAAGGGCCGUCUAACAUUCCCCAGAGAAAAAGCUGGAGGAGGAAGAUGAAGAGUAUGGGAGAGGGAUAAAGAGGACGGGGAGGGGAGUAACUAAGAACACUGUGCACCUGCCUCCAUGGGAAUCCGUGAGGACAAUGCAGCAAGUGACCCAUCUCCCAUUUGAGAUGGUGUCUGUUGCUCUCACCGAGUUUAAUUCCACAGCUGGAACAUGACCACAUUAUAGUUCUUGAGAUGCUCUAGAAACCCCGGGUGGUUUCCGUGCUAUAUUUUAUGAGUGUCGCAAGCACCCUGAAAUGCUAUCAAAGUCACUCAUAUGUUCACAUAUUUUCAAAAUAAAAAGACACUCUUUUGUUGUCCUCACUCCAUGAUCUUAGAGAUUCAUGUAAGAGGGCAAUUAAAAUGUUUCUGGAAUUUAAAAAAUUUAUUUGUAAGGUGGUGUUACAGAUUGGAAAUCCUGAGCUAUCCACUGUAUAAUCUAUAACUUUGUAAAAAGAACGAGACACUAGAGCCUCCUGUGGUCCACGCUGUGCUGUGAUGCUGUGAUGCUGUGGGAGCUGGCACGUUUUCUAGGUGCCUCAGGGAUGAGGCCAAACCCGUUGACGCUGCUUCUGGUUGUCUUGUUUUUCUAUCUAGAGACAGAACGUUCUGCUGACAUUCUUAGGUAUGGAAAAGGGACGUCGGCUGGCAUGAGAAGUGCUCUGAUUAUUUUUAGUUAAAUAUGGUAGUUUUAAAACAAACUGUAAAACUCUUUAUUGUCAGAAAAGUGCAUAGCCACUGCUUCAAUGAAAGUGCAUCGCCUUCUGACCUUAAACACACCAUUUGUAACUUUCUGUUAUUUUUGUGUGUGUUCUGGAAGCUAAGACUUUCUUUUCAUGUCCAGAUCUUCCUCGACUUACAAUGGGGUUGCCUCCUGAUAAACCCAUCACAAGUUGAUAAUAUCCUGGGUUGAAAAUGCAUUGAAUACACCUACCCAGCAAACAUCCUAGCUUAGCCGAGCCCACCUUGAACAUGCUCAGAACACGUGCAUUUGCCUACAGCCGGGCGGAAUCAGCCAACACAAAGCCUAUUUUAUGAUAAAGUCUUGGAUGGCUCAUGUAAUUGACUGAAUAUUAUACUGAAAGCAAGAAACGGAGUGGUCAGAUGGAUAUGGCACGGUUGUAAGUGUGUCGGUUGUUCAUCCUCGUGGUCGUGGGGCUGAGUGGGAGCUGCGACUUGCUGCUGCCGCCCAGCAUCACGGGAGAGGAUUGUAAGUCACGGAUCAUCCGUAACUGUUUUUCUUGAAGUGUGACAUCAUCCAGAGAGUGUAGGGAUAGCCAGCUUGGGGCUCGGGCAGUUGUCACAAAGGGACACACCUGGGUGAGAAGCCCACAGCCCGAGAAGCCCUGUUCCUUUCCCUCCUGCCCGCCCCCCACUGUUAAAGCUGCUCCUUCUUCCCAAAGAUAACCUCCAUCCUUACUCCUAAGAUAAAGGUUUGAUUUCUUUCAGAAUGCUGAAGUGUUUUUGAAGCAAAGUGGAGUAUUACAUUUUUCAAGUGGGAAAAAAAAAAGGGUCAGGAAGAUCUUUUUCUGUUUUCUUUUACAAGUUUUAUUGUUUUACCUUUUGCAUUUAGGUCUCGAUCCAUCUCAGUUGAACUUCUGGUGUGGUGUGAGGCCGGGUAAUGGUCCAUCCUUGCCUCCCCCGGGAGCCCUGUGUCUUCACCUUGCCCCUCCCCUCGGCGGGUCCUCAACACCUCUUGCGAGACUGCUGAAAACGCUGAGAUGAUUUUCCGGGGCUUGCUGCUUCUCUUUUUCAGUCUCCACUCCUCAUAUACCCCCAACUCAGGAAAUGCCUGAAGGGAAAUCCAACCAUGUGAUGGAGGCCCCCCAUGUCUCUCAGAAAUUCUCUGGUAUCUCUGUCCCCAGACGCCCACCUUCUGCCACGACCCAGAAUGGGCGAAUGUCCUGGGGGCAGCUGCUGGUCAGCUUCCUCCCUGAGGAUCCACUCACUCCAGUGUCAGCGGCUUGGGUCCUGCUGCCCCAGCAGCUCUCCAGUGCCUCCAAACAGAGAUCUCUGCAUUUAAUGGGACCUUGCCUGCUUUGCUGGACAGAAGUGCUGGUCUGCGACAGGGAACAUCCCUCUCGGGAUUUUGGCUCAAGGAAAAAAGAGAAACAGCCACGCAGAACAGAGGAGGGCCCCAAACCCGAGAGGACAGGCUACCGGAGGAGGUCUUCAACAGGGCAAGAGUGGAGAAAAUGAAAUGAGCUGAAGAGUGCGUAUGAAAUUUAUUUUAUUCAAGUGAAGAUUUAUGCUGGCAGAUUUCAUUCCGGCUGACAUUGACCUUUUCGGACGAGAUGAGAGUUUCUGCAGGUCAGGACUCUGGGAGCAGCCUCACUAUGCUGUUCUGGCUCAGGAUCUCCAAUGAAGCUGUGGUCAAGAUGUCGGCUGGGCUUAGUCAUCUGAAGGCUCGACUGGGGUGGAGGGUCUGCUCCCAAGAUGGCACACUCCAUGCCUGUUAGCUGGAGGCCUCAUCUCCUCCCAGUGUGAGCCUCUCCACUGGGCUGCUUGAGUGUCCUUGAGACAGGCCACUGCUUCCACCAGAGCAAGCAACCCAAGGGAAAGGGAGACAGAGGCCACAGUGGCCCUCAUACUCCAGCCUCCAGUGUGAUCUCCCACCAUUCCUCCUGGGUUCUGCUGGUUACACACAUAAUCUUGGUCCGUUCAGGAUGCUAUGACAAAAUACCACAAACUGGGUGGCUUAUCAACAACAGAAACCUGCUUCCCUCAGUUCUGGAGGCUGGGGAGUCCAAGAUCAAGGUGCCAGCAUGGUCACGUUCCCGUGAGGGCUCUCUGCUGCGUUCAUUGCUGACACCUCACUGUGUCCUCACAUGGUGGAAGGGGCAGAAGUCUCUGUGAGGUCUCUUUUAUAAGAACACUAAUCUCAUUCAUGAGGGCUCCAUCCUCCUGACCUAGGCACCACUCAAAGGCCCCAUCUCCUAACACCACCGCGUUGGGCAAUAGGAUUUCAGCAUAUGAAUUUUAGGGGGACAGAAACAUUCAGAGCACAGCACAGACCAACCCUGACACAAUGUGGGAGGGGACUAUAGAGGGGUGUGAAUACCAUGAGGUGGGAUCAUUGGGACUAUCUUGGAGACUGGCUGCCACGAAGUGGCAGGUGGCUGAGCAUUAGCCUCGCCCCUCUGCCAUUUCACCUGAAUUCUGCUGGGAAAAAGGGGCCAUGUCCAAAGGCUGUUAUCUUAAACUCCUGCCCGGCAGUCUGAAGGCACGGGAAGUCAGACUCAGGGUAAUUUUCAAGUCCAGCCAAUGCAUUUUUAUUAGACACUGAAUUAGUUGGCUGACUGCAUUGUCUAACCCCGGAACAAGCAUCUACAUAAAGGAGGCCAUGAAGUGGCUCUACUUACUACGUCCUUAGUGCCAAGUGUCACCAGGUCACGGGGCAUGGGUUGUCUUAGAGAAAGAUAAGCGGAAAGCAAUAGAUUGUGAUGUAUAAUCAAGCAGUGGAAAGUGCAACACAGACUAAAUGUGGAGGAAUUUAGGGCUUCCUGCUGGUUAGCAAGAAUACAAAGCUUCCUGAAGGCGUAGGUUUGUGGAGAACCGAAUAAAGAAACACAGGAGAGAUGAAAGGGGCUGAGGCUAGGAGGGCAGCCCCGAGCAGCGGCAGGAGGGCAAGAGGCUGAUUCAGAAGCCUCGGAGGCUUGAGUGAGGCUGACUUCCAUCCUCAGGGGAAGGCACAGAGGGUCCCGCUCGCCCUGUACAUCGGGAAGGUGGAAGGAGGCAGAGUUAUCAACAGAGGGAGGCCAAGCCAUGGGCGUCUCUCAGACGUCCACCAUGUGCAAUGCUCUUCCCAUGUGAUUCCAUUUAACCUCCAAACGACCGGAGGAGGCGAGGGUAGCCUUCUCUCUAGAGAAGUGGGUUUGGAACCCAGGGUUGUUUGCAUCCAAAGCACACACUGUUUUCACAAGACUCUCACUGUCUCUGUAGGGAUGGAUCAGCUGAAACCUUCAAGAAACAGACAGCACCGGGACCGGAGUGGGAGGAGGGGGCAGCAGGCUGUGUAGCCGGCACGGAGCCAGUGGGUAAACUUCCUCCUUUCUGCCUCAAGCCUACAAGGCAGACUUUGACCCUUCUCGAGACUUCAUAAAGGAACAGCUGUCCACCAUUUCCGCCCUACCUCCUGUCAAGACACGCCCAGUGUGGACCAGGCCCCGCCGCCCCGCAGACGGAGAGGGGAGAGAGAUUCACUUCACGCCCAUUUCAAAGUGGACGCAUUCGCCUUAAACGACCUUAAGUUUAAAGGCAGUUUCUCACGUGGAACUGAGAGUGGCUGUUUAAAGAAGAGAUGGCAAUUAUGUUAUCAAAUUAUAGUGUGGAAAAUAAAACACAGGAAGCAUUUCGUGCUUAGACAGUGGAGUGUAGAAGAGUCAGGAGCCAGGUUCAAAUUCUGGCUCCACAUCCAAACAGAUCUGUGACUUAGAGCAAAGUACAUAAGCUCAAGGCCUCACCUGUGGAACAUGGAAGAUGAGGCCUACAUCGUUAGGAUAUUGUUUUCUGAGGAAGAUUGGCCCUGAGCUAACAUCUGUGCCAAUCUUCCUGACUUUUGUAUGUGGGUUGCCACAACAGCAUGGCUGAGGAGUGGUGUAGGUCCAUGCCCAGGAACCAAAGCCACGAACCCGGGCCACUGAAGCAGAAUGCGCUGAACUUAACCACUAUGCCACAGGGCUGGCCCUAAAGACGGUAACUUUUAAUACUACUGUGGGUAGCACAUAGGAGGUGCUGUAUAAACCAUAGUUACUUUUAUUAAAGUGAAUUGUUUUUUUCCAACAAAAGAUUUAUCAUUCCAGCUAUGGUCAGCCUUGGCUAGAAAUAUAACUUGUCUGCAUUUUUAGAUAGACACUUAUGAAUGGUGGGGUGUUUACCUAAGAGUACAGGCUGCAUUCGUAGUUACACUGUGCUUCCAUGGGGUGGGGGGAGCAGCUUCAGAGCUGGCGGGUGCCAUGAAUGUUCCCAAGUUGGAGAAACACACAGAAAGAACCAAGGGUGGUUAAAAAUACUAUAAUCUUCUCUUAGAGUGAUGGCAAGAUGGGGGAACAUGUGGAUAAGAAUGGUGUACGCGUUGGGGGGUGUGGACAUGGAGCAAACCAAAGUUCGAGUGGAGGAGUGAAUGGACCAAUGGAUUUGAAGGUACUUUGAAAAGUGUAUGUGCCAUGUGCAUUAUCGUCAGGGGCCCGCCGCCAGUUCUCAGCGUGUUAGUGGCAGAAGAAGGGAAAACGGAACACAGGGUUCCUAAAGCCCAGCCAGAUGCUGUCUCCCGCACCAUGCCGUCCUGGAACGUGGAUGCCACCCCUCUCUUCUGACAUUUCAUGGUUGUUUAGAGUUAGCUGUAGCGCAGCCCGCAUAUGUCUAGUGCCUGGUGGGAGAACGUGAAUUAAUUAAAGUCUCCUCAUGCUUUUAUUCACCAGCUUCUCUAGGAUUUUUGUUGUAAGGCCAAGUUAUCAGAGACACCACGGCUUUCCUCGGCGGCCCGCCAGCACGGGGGAAGGAAGACACUCAGCCCUUAGGAGAGAAGUUCAAGAGGUUAGAGCUUCUGGGGACAGGAACAGCCCAGCCUGAGAGCUUUGAGCACCUUUCCCCUGAAGAAGGACAGAGUGUGUGUGUGUGUGUGUGUGUGUGUGUGUGUGUGUGUCCGGGGUGUUCAGUCAACCAAAAGGAAUCCUGCAUAGCUUGACCUUUGCUGUAUAUGUGGAAUGGAGCAGCCUUUUUUUCCUUCUUUUUUUUAGAUAGAGUGACUGUAAAGAUGGUAAAGAAAAUUACAAGCUUCCUGAAAAAGAAGGAUUGGAAAUUAGUCUCGAAACUGCUUUGCAAUUAUGUCUGUAUAUUUUAGAUGUUUUGGCUUAAACUAAAGGUAGUAAAAAUAUAUAGUUUCUGCUAUGAUGUGGGUUUAGCUUUUGUCAACAGACGUUUGUAGACUACAUUACAGAGGCGGGUUCAGACGUUAUCUAAUUAUGUAUUAGACUUAAGAACGUGGGAGCAUUUCCAGAUAAGACUAAGGUGACCCCUGAAU